AUUGAACGCUGGCGGCGGGCUUAACACAUGCAAGUCGAACGGUAACAUGGGUGCUUGCACCUGAUGACGAGUGGCGGACGGGUGAGUAAUGUAUGGGGAUCUGCCGAAUGGAAUGGGACAACAGUUGGAAACGACUGCUAAUACCGUAUAAUGUCGCGAGACCAAAGUGUAGGACUUUCGGGCCACAUGCCAUUUGAUGAACCCAUAUGGGAUUAG
Molecule: ribosomal RNA, 216 nt
Filed under: uncultured bacterium
Lineage: Bacteria
Description: partial 16S ribosomal RNA
Rfam family: Bacterial small subunit ribosomal RNA
Source: RNAcentral